This is a long non-coding RNA of Hyla sarda, 433 nucleotides long. RefSeq lists it as uncharacterized. The transcript has 3 exons. Lineage: Eukaryota; Metazoa; Chordata; Amphibia; Anura; Hylidae. The record is from RefSeq and is a predicted model, not a curated record.
UGGCAACGCAAGGGCGAGGCACGGCCAGGUUACUGCGCAAUACCAGCGGCAUUUCUCUCGGUAUCCCACUCUUCCAGAAUGGCUUUCUGCAGCCAAUAUCUGCUAGAGCCGGAAGAAAUUCCAUACUGAAAUGAAAUGGUAGUUGCCUCGUGGACCCUGUGUCUCAUCUGCAUCCCUCCAACUACCUGCUUACCUGUAUCAUUGUGAUGCACAAGAAAUAAAGAAAUGUUGAUACGGCACAUCUGGUGUCAUCUGCAAUUCUCAGUUCUCCCAGGGGUGGUGGGUGAACACUAACAUCUAUGGUGUCUGCAAUGCAGACACUGAACAUAAGAGGAGAAGAUCCUACACGCCUGUGUCUUUCUAGAGUCUAAAAAGCAGCAGAAGCAUGGAAGGAAUGAAAAAGCAGCUGUGAGCUGUUUAAACUGUGCAUAAA